CGAAGGGGCUAGCGUUGCUCGGAAUUACUGGGCGUAAAGGGCGCGUAGGCGGACAGUUUAGUCAGAGGUGAAAGCCCAGGGCUCAACCUUGGAAUUGCCUUUGAUACUGGCUGUCUUGAGUACGGGAGAGGUGAGUGGAACUCCGAGUGUAGAGGUGAAAUUCGUAGAUAUUCGGAAGAACACCAGUGGCGAAGGCGACUCACUGGCCCGUUACUGACGCUGAGGCGCGAAAAGCGUGGGGAGCAAAACAGGAUU
This 255-nucleotide ribosomal RNA is filed under the name uncultured bacterium. Its description in RNAcentral is "partial 16S ribosomal RNA". It matches the Rfam family "Bacterial small subunit ribosomal RNA", at positions 527 to 779 of the family's 1533-position model. The record is from RNAcentral.